GACGAACGCUGGCGGCGUGCUUAACACAUGCAAGUCGAACGAAGUGGCGAACGGGUGAGUAACGCGUAAUCAACCUGCCCUUCAGAGGGGGACAACAGUUGGAAACGACUGCUAAUACCGCAUACUGAAGGAGGGGAUUGCGUCUGAUUAGGUAGGUGGGGGGGUAACGGCCCACCAAGGCGAAGAUCAGUAGCCGGUCUGAUAGGAGUAACGGCCCAAAUGGGACUGAGACAAGGCCCAGACUUCUACGGGAGGCAGCAGGGGGGAAUCGUCCGCAAUGGAGGGAAGUCUGACGGAGCAACGCCGCGGGAGUGAUGACGGCCUUCGGGUUGUAAAGCUCUGUUAAUCGGGACGCGGUACCGGAAUAGAAAGCCACGGCUAACUACGUGCCAGCAGCCGCGGUAAUUC
RNAcentral lists this ribosomal RNA (408 nucleotides) under uncultured bacterium. RNAcentral's name for it is "partial 16S ribosomal RNA". It matches the Rfam family "Bacterial small subunit ribosomal RNA", at positions 28 to 526 of the family's 1533-position model. The record is from RNAcentral.